Molecule: ribosomal RNA, 253 nt
Filed under: uncultured bacterium
Lineage: Bacteria
Description: partial 16S ribosomal RNA
Rfam family: Bacterial small subunit ribosomal RNA
Source: RNAcentral
UACGGGGGGGGCAAGCGUUGUUCGGAUUUAUUGGGCGUAAAGAGCGUGUAGGCGGCCAGGUAGGUCGGUUGUGAAAACUGGAGGCUCAACCUUCAGAGGUCGACCGAAACCCCCUGGCUAGAGUCCGGAAGAGGCAAGUGGAAUUCCCGGUGUAGCGGUGAAAUGCGCAGAUAUCAGGAAGAACACCUAUGGCGAAGGCAGCUCUCUGGGACGGUACUGACGCUGAGACGCGAAAGCGUGGGGAGCGAACAGG